CGAGCACCGCGCGGCACCGAUCCGCAGACCUCCAGGAGACAACGAGCGCUUCCGGACCGGCCCGGGGCGCUGCGCGGUGCUGCCGCCGGCUGGCAACGCUCCAAGGCGUGAUGCGGGACGCCCGGUACCGGCGGCCCCCGAGGGGCGCGGCGCGUCCCCACAUGCCCACACAGGUUAUGUGCCUGAGAAGUCCAUGUCAGCACUCUCAAACAGGACGGGCUGUGCACUGCAGAGGAGAUUGCACACCUGAAAAACCUUCUACUGUCCCUACAUUUCGCUGUUCUACAGGCAACUGCCGGGCAUGUGCAUGACUUAUGGAGCUGUUCAGCAAAUGCUGAUGUCUGUAGAAGUGUAAGAUGAAGUUUCCACCAGUUUCAGAAAGGAUUCAUACAGCUUUCAAAAAUAUCAUUUAAAAUCAUCACAGUAGAUACUAAGGAAGGAAAUAAAAUAAGCCUACACGUCAGCCUGUGAUUCAC
This 476-nucleotide long non-coding RNA is filed under the name Gallus gallus (chicken). Its description in RNAcentral is "long non-coding RNA NONGGAT002251". Lineage: Eukaryota; Metazoa; Chordata; Aves; Galliformes; Phasianidae. The record is from RNAcentral.